Molecule: long non-coding RNA, 938 nt
Organism: Capsicum annuum
Lineage: Eukaryota; Viridiplantae; Streptophyta; Magnoliopsida; Solanales; Solanaceae
Exons: 2
Source: RefSeq, a predicted model, not a curated record
CCCUCUUCCCAAAAAAUUAUUCAAUCACCACAACUACUCAAAAACACACAAAACAACCAACCUUCUUUCCUUUCUCUUUCUUCUCCCUCUCAUUACUUUCCAAGCCGGAAAACUCUAGCGGCCAUAGUUGUCGUAUCUCCGCUGCUAGGCUAUCAAGAUUUUUUCACUUUCGGCUUUCCCAACCCGUGAAAUCAGCGAUGGCUGAGAAGUCAGUCCCAAAUCUAUACAAAAAUUUAAAUUUGAACCUCAAAAUCAUCCACGAAAGGGACGACACUCAAGGAUUUCGAAUCCCCCUCUUCUUCCACACAAUUUUUUACAAAUCGUUGUUUCAAAUUCAGACUUUCAAAUCCGAAUUUGCACUAAUAAAUGUGGGUCUUACCAUUUCCACGAAGAAUAAGGUCUGGUAGUCAAGAAAAAGAAUGAAAACUUGAAAAGACAGACAGAGGAAUGGAAGGAAAAAAGAGAGAAAAAUCAAAACUAAAAGUGAAUUUAAAGUCGGAGAGUGGAAAAAACAGUGUAAACGGUUAGAAAUUAGAGAGAAAAAUUAGUGAAAAAAGUGGGAGGUUCACUGGAAAGUCUCGAAGUCUCUAGUUUCUUUUUGAUUUUUGUCCAAGUUUGAAUCCUCGGAGUCUAAUUCGUCUGCCGAAAAAUCCUUGUCAUCGAAGCCUCAGUUUUGCUGCUCGAAAAAGGAGUUGGAGUUUCGAUCGAAACUCAUUUCUGACCCAAAGAUCGGAUCAACCGCUUUAGGAUCUUCAGCAUUCGGGGUCUACACCAUUAGGAAUUGGCCCCUUUCUAAAAGAACUUGGUUGUAUCUAGUCCUUUGCUUUCUUCACAUUUUCUUCUUAUUGUUAUUUAUUCUAUUAAUCUUGUAUUUCUUCUAAUAUUUAUUUUGUGUGGAUUGAUCGAUGUUGAAUAACUUCAUAUUUGUUUAGCUUUGU